This 483-nucleotide ribosomal RNA is filed under the name uncultured bacterium. Its description in RNAcentral is "partial 16S ribosomal RNA". It matches the Rfam family "Bacterial small subunit ribosomal RNA", at positions 30 to 507 of the family's 1533-position model. The record is from RNAcentral.
AUUGAACGCUGGCGGCAGGCCUAACACAUGCAAGUCGAGCGGAUGAAGGGAGCUUGCUCCUGGAUUCAGCGGCGGACGGGUGAGUAAUGCCUAGGAAUCUGCCUGGUAGUGGGGGAUAACGUCCGGAAACGGGCGCUAAUACCGCAUACGUCCUGAGGGAGAAAGUGGGGGUUUUUGGGACCCACGGCAUUCGGUUAGCCUAGGUCGGAUUAGCUAGUUGGUGGGGUAAAGGCCUACCAAGGCGACGAUCCGUAACUGGUCUGAGAGGAUGAUCAGUCACACUGGAACUGAGACACGGUCCAGACUCCUACGGGAGGCAGCAGUGGGGAAUAUUGGACAAUGGGCGAAAGCCUGAUCCAGCCAUGCCGCGUGUGUGAAGAAGGUCUUCGGAUUGUAAAGCACUUUAAGUUGGGAGGAAGGGCAGUAAGUUAAUACCUUGCUGUUUUGACGUUACCAACAGAAUAAGCACCGGCUAACUUCGUG